Molecule: transfer RNA, 75 nt
Filed under: Chloroflexota bacterium
Lineage: Bacteria; Bacillati; Chloroflexota
Also listed under: 2 other names
Description: tRNA-Arg
Rfam family: tRNA
About the family: Transfer RNA (tRNA) molecules are approximately 80 nucleotides in length. Their secondary structure includes four short double-helical elements and three loops (D, anti-codon, and T loops).
Source: RNAcentral
GCCCCCGUAGCUCAGCGGAUAGAGCACCGGCCUCCGGAGCCGGUGGCGAGGGUUCGAGUCCCUCCGGGGGUACCA